UACGUAGGGGGCAAGCGUUGUCCGGAAUCAUUGGGCGUAAAGAGCGUGUAGGCGGCCAGAUAAGUCCGCUGUGAAAUCUCGAGGCUCAACUUCGAGCUGUCGGUGGAAACUGUCUGGCUAGAGUCCGGAAGAGGAGAAUGGAAUUCCUGGUGUAGCGGUGAAAUGCGCAGAUAUCAGGAGGAACACCGGUGGCGAAGGCGGAUCUCUGGGCCUUACCUGACGCUGAGGAGCGAAAGCAUGGGGAGCAAACAGG
Molecule: ribosomal RNA, 253 nt
Filed under: uncultured bacterium
Lineage: Bacteria
Description: partial 16S ribosomal RNA
Rfam family: Bacterial small subunit ribosomal RNA
Source: RNAcentral